UACGAAGGGGGCUAGCGUUGCUCGGAAUCACUGGGCGUAAAGGGUGCGUAGGCGGGUCUUUAAGUCAGGGGGUGAAAUCCUGGAGCUCAACUCCAGAACUGCCUUUGAUACUGAGGAUCUUGAGUUCGGGAGAGGUGAGUGGAACUGCGAGUGUAGAGGUGAAAUUCGUAGAUAUUCGCAAGAACACCAGUGGCGAAGGCGGCUCACUGGCCCGAUACUGACGCUGAGGCACGAAAGCGUGGGGAGCAAACAGG
RNAcentral lists this ribosomal RNA (254 nucleotides) under uncultured bacterium. RNAcentral's name for it is "partial 16S ribosomal RNA". It matches the Rfam family "Bacterial small subunit ribosomal RNA", at positions 524 to 776 of the family's 1533-position model. The record is from RNAcentral.